RNAcentral lists this ribosomal RNA (493 nucleotides) under uncultured bacterium. Its description in RNAcentral is "bacterial SSU rRNA". It matches the Rfam family "Bacterial small subunit ribosomal RNA", at positions 95 to 606 of the family's 1533-position model. The record is from RNAcentral.
GCGGCGGACGGGUGAGUAACGCGUGGGUAACCUGCCCCUCAGCCCGGGAUAACCGUCGGAAACGAUGGCUAAUACCGGAUGCUGUAUACAUAUCGCAUGAUGUGUAUACGAAAGUUCAGGCGCUGAGGGAUGGGCCCGCGUCCCAUUAGCUAGUUGGUGAGGUAACGGCUCACCAAGGCGACGAUGGGUAGCCGGCCUGAGAGGGUGACCGGCCACACUGGGACUGAGACACGGCCCAGACUCCUACGGGAGGCAGCAGUCGGGGAUCUUCCAUAAUGGGCGAAAGCCUGAUGGAGCGACGCCGCGUGAGGGAUGAAGGUCUUCGGAUCGUAAACCUCUGUCUUCCGGGACGACAAUGACGGUACCGGAGGAGGAAGCCACGGCUAACUACGUGCCAGCAGCCGCGGUAAUACGUAGGUGGCGAGCGUUGUCCGGAAUUACUGGGCGUAAAGGGUGCGUAGGCGGUGCCUUAAGUCCUGUGUGAAAUCUAUCG